AGAAAAAUCAUAACUUCCUCAUACGAAGUCAGAUUUGGGCGUUCUUUUUACAGAUGUUCUCGGUUUAAUGUAUACUACCAAUUUGGUUUAGAUUGCUAAGGAUAAAAUUCGCUCCAUCGUAAGUUUACUAUUUAUGCUUCCUGGUGUCAUGCCGGUUUUGCCGUAAAACUUCGACGGCCCAUAACUUUUUCGUUAUAACUCGGAUUUCGGCGUUCUUUAUAUGUACGGAAACCUUGAGACAUAUUCUACAACUUGGUUAAGACUAUUUAUUAUAAAUAAUCUUUUUCCGAAAAGUUGUUUUCGACACUUAUUGCCUUUAAAUUGACUAUCCCGGAUCUGCGGGCGUUACACGCCCGUAAGACACCAAUCAUGCGGAUGGACUUCGCCACAUUCCAAGUUGCUGUAACAGCAGCAGUAACCGCUACUAUGGCACAAAUCAACACAAAGAACACCAAUAGAGGUAGAAAUAGCAUCGACAACUCCAGCCGAGGGAACGAACAUGGAAAGCAACAAGUGAUAGCUCAUCAAGGAACUCCAAACCCCAACUCAAUGCAAACAACACCAAUAGAGGUUAAAAAACAUGAUAUUUUUCAUUGUGAAAUUUUUUUAUUGCUUUUGAGCUAAUAUUAUUUCUGAUUUCAUAAUUUUCCCCAAACAUCUAUGUAUUUCAAAUGUGUUGUGUAUAUUAGACCUCUAGUAGGCUUCAUAACUUUCUUUGACACCUACAAUAUGUAUACUUGCAUGGUUCUUUCUGAUGUGUUAUGCGAAUAAUUUUAUUUGGUUUUUAAUGAAAAUUUUCAAUUUUUCACUAUAGUUUUCUAUAUUAAAUUUGAAUAUGAACACUUAUAGGUAAUUGAUAAUGUAUUCGCACAUGCUUUGUAGUGCGAAAUUAAAUAUUUAAAACUCCAUAAAAAUAUGUACAAAGCUUAUCAUCUAGUCUUCUAGAGCAAACAAGAAGGAUCGUAGAGAGAUUUCAUUGCAUUUUGUUAAAACUAUGUUUUUUUUAUGGUUCUAUACCUAAUAUUAGGUAAAUAAUAGCCAGAUAUUCCCUAAGGUUAUAUAUAUAUUGUGAGACCACUAUAUUUUGUGAAACGGAGAGACGCGAUCUUAUACAUUCAUUUUGUAGAUGAAAAAAACAUUUUUAAAAUGCAAAAUAAUUGAAAAUUUUUGAUUUUUUUUUUAAAAUAUAAUUUUGUCACUUUUUUUUAUUAAAAAAAUAAAAAAUAAAAAAAAUUAUUGUUUUUUUUUUUUGAAAUAUUCUAUUACAAUAUUAGAAUAUUCUAGUAGAAUAUUUGAAUAUUUUACAUAUCUAAUAGAUCUACUAGAAUACAACAAUAUUUUAACAUUCUAAUAUUUNNNNNNNNNNNNNNNUCUAGAAUUUAUGGAUCCAAAUUUCGACUUACGAUGAUUUUUCUACGAAUUUUCCAACAACUAGGUCAGAAAAGUCCAAAAUCAGAAAAAUGUGUGUUUUCACAAAAAUCAAGCAAAAAAUGAUAUUUUUGACAAAAAUGGUUUUAAAAUGUUAUUUUUACCACAAACUAGUCAUCAACACAAGUUUUGAACAAAAUGGGGACUAAAGUGUUAUGCUUAAAAAAACUAGGCCUUAAUUGUAAAUUAUUGGCUUAUUGGGCCAAGAACAUUCUUUUUCCAAAAAAUGUGCUUCUAUGCUAUUUUAGUGAAAACUUGAACCAAAACCGAAGAUAAACUAACAAACGAAUUAAUUUGAUCAUUUUCUAGGUUAUUGGGCCUUAGUGGUCCAUUUAUAUGUUUGAUAGGUCAAGUAUCCUACUUAUAUGUUUAGUGGGCCUCAUUGACCCAUUAAUAUGUGCGACAGACCUUGGAUACUAUUUAUGUGCUAUUUGGGCCUGUAAAUACCUUACAUGUGAAAUGGGCCUUAGUUGUCCUUUCAUAUAUAUUUCGAACCCAUGUUAUAUAAUCUCAUUCCAAUUGGGCCUUUAAAUGAUUUACAUGUUUAGCGAUGCCUUAGUGGUUCACUUACAUAGUUCACUGGGCCUGGAAUGAGUUUAUACUUUUCUCCGUGUAAAUUUGAUUAAGGAUCUAGUGAGCUCUGUCGAUUGGCACCUAUUAAGUGUACGAACGUAGCCUGUAGUUACAACCAGAGUCUCUUGGAGAGAGAGUGUGGAUUUGCGUAUAGAUCUAUACGGGGAUGACACCCCACACCUAAGUUGUUCGCUACAGUUAGACUAACUCAGUGUAGGUUGACGAAAACCUUAUAAUCAAAACCGGCGUCCAACAACGCUAUGACAGGCAAAAUUGUUAUUAUUUAGUAUGGUUAUGACGGCUCACUUAGAGGAACUAACGUUAUGAAGUUUACAUAGACAAUUCUAUAUUCUCUUGGAUUACGCAGAAACAUAUUCGUACUGGUACUCAACCUCGGGGGUUGGUAUGACAGCUUUCUCUUUUACAGAAAACAUCGGGUUGUCUGGGAACAUUCCCUUUACAUUCUCUUUACCCUUUUAGUCAAAUAAACGAAAACAUACAUGCAUUAAUACAAGAUCUGACACAAACAUACUAAACAGUUUGCAGAAAGUAUAGGAUUUUCUGGUGGUUUCAAAGUUAUACAAAUUAUUUUCACAAACAUGCUUAUGGACUCACCAACAUUAUAUAUGUUGAAAUUUUCAAAAUUACUUGUAUUCUCAGGGACUCGUUAAGCAGAAGAAUCAACAAGAAUAGGGGAUUACUUUUGUGUACUGUCAAACAUCAUACAUUGAAUGUUUUGGUCAUAUUAUUUAAACGAUUGUACUUGGUGUAAACAAUAGUAGUUGUAUUAUAUUAUGCCUGGUAAUGAUGAUGUUAUGUUUCAUUUAUAUUUGCUGUAAUGAUAUUUCAAGAUGAAGUCACGUACAAGGCCCCGGACGUUUCCGCCGUCUGGUUCGGGGGUGUGACAGAUUGGUAUCAGAGCAUUGUUUAUAGUGAACUGGCGUAUCUAACCAUACAAGAUAUGCAACUAUAAAUACCAUGGGACUAAGCUACUCUGAACAUAAUAAUUAAAAUACAUACUUAUGUGUGCAUUUUAGAGUAAUAACACAACAAGAACAGUAAAAGUCUUUGGAGGAUUUGAACAUCGCUAUUAAACUCGGGCAGUUAUGUAGUCAUAUUGGGGGUGAAUGUAGCGUGCUCAACUACAUUCAUUCAAAAUACGACCAACAUGUGUUCGGGAGUAAUUGUAAUGGACAAUGAAUCAAAAACUUACAAUUUAAUUUUCCAAAGAGGUUAUAGAACCAAACCUAAACAAAAUUAAAUUAUUAUCGAAGUAAUUGAUAUGCUAUUUUUUUCUAGUGUUUACACCCCUUCGUGCAAUACACUAUAGACGAGUAUACAUAGCUAGGAAACCCUUAUCUCCCUAGUCAGGGAAUAGCAGGGUCGCUCGACCCAGAGGAAGGCCCAGAAUGAGACUCAGAGGAAGAACCAGAGGAGGAACACGUAGUAGAACUUGCAGAUAGACUCGUUGAGUCAAUAGUGGACCUCAAAGAGGAAGAGCCGGAUGGAAUUGACGAUGAUGACUUGGAUGUAGGGUCCAAGGUCAUAUAUCUUCAAUACAUGGCCAGAGUAUCAGAUUAUCGUAAGGUCCCUGAUGGCCCCACGCCCCAUGGGCACACGAUAAUAAGAGAAGGAGUCACCAGCAGGGGAUACGACCACACUACGGUAGGAAUCGAGGUCUCUUCAAUCUUAGUCAUAGAGGAUCAGAUGACCGAGCCCUCCCAGUCGUGGUCCAACGCACCCGAGACAUUGGCAACCAAACUCAGGACACCCAUAAGAAAAUGGACCAAAUGUGGGCUGCUGUUGAGAGAACUAAGUGACAAAUUGAGGAAGUGAUCGGGACUCCCAAACGAGGCAGUUAGUUCGGCUGGCACGACUACGAGACACCGAGCGACAAGUAGCUCAUCUUCAGGGUGCAUCCACUUUAUCAGAACCACCACCAGACACUUUCCAGCACAAUUAGGAUCAACCUUUUCUUUUUCCCCCUACUAACCGAUAUGACUCUCUUUCGUGUACUAAAACGAUACUUACCAAUGAAACAAUUAUGUGCUAUCUUUACUUCAUGUUAUUGCAUAAUUUCAAGUGUAUGCACAACCGAACCCUCGAAACCGCUAGAUACUUAAGAAUCUCGAAACCAAAACAACCCAUAUACUCUAAGGAUAGACAUAACGAUCAUGUCAAAUCUGCGAUUACCUACUACCAUAAAUACAUCAUAGGGAUGUUGAUGGAAACAAUGAAAAUCAUACGACAAGACACGAAAUUUAUAGAGUACAACCAAGAAUAAUGAUCAUUACUUACGAUCUGGCUUAUCAACAUGCAGCAGAAAAUGUCAUCCCACAAAGAUAACAAGCACGCCCUGUGACAUCCCCAUUUUCACGGCCAAAAAAUACCGAUUUUGUUUAUGUUUUAUAAAAAUCAGAGUGCCACUUUUAAUAAAAAUGUUGUGGAAUUUGUUCCCAGUAAAACAUGAUAAAUACGUUAUCAAAGCAAUUCUGAAGAAAACUAUUUUUAAUUCAUUUAAAAGAUUUGGGAUGUCAUUGUCAAUAAUGAAACAUAAGCAUAAACAGAACUUACAUUUAUUUACACUAGUGAUCUACAUCUCUUUUAAAUCUCUCAGUGUAAAGUAGCUUCGUAUUGACACCUGUCAUUCAAAUAAACUGAGUGGGUCAGGUUGGGAAACCUGGUGAGUACAUAGGGUUUUCAACCCGCAAUAAUAUAAUUAUUAUGUUUAAUCAUCAAAGAGUUAACCCAAUUACCCAUCCCUAUUAUCUUCUUUAAUCGUAAGGAUCUACCCUAAGAAUCAGCUAUUUGUCGUUCAUUCAUGCCUACAGAUUUUCCAAAGGCAUAGGUAUGAAGUCCAUCGUUAUCAAUGACACAGCUGACAAGCACAUCUGCUAGUUCUAUCACUUAGGCGCACCUGCCAUAGUUGUGACAUUCUAUAUGAGGUGCUUCUGCUGGUAUUGUCCUUUAGAAGCUACUGUCAAGGUGAUAAUGUUCUCUUUUAGGCGCAACUGCUGAUAUUAUCCUUAGAGCGUAGCUACUAGGAUGUUUAUCGUAGAUCAACAACAUCUAUAGGUUGUGGCGCAGCUGCCUGUGCUUAUCUAUAGGGUACUAGGUCCAUUGCUACCAAUGUUCACCUAUAGGGCACUAGGUCCAUACCACUAAUAUUCCUCUAUUUCAGUUUUCACCCCUCGUCCUUCAUCUACCCAUGUUUUUCCCAACAUAUUUUGUAGAUAUAAAAAUAUGUAUACAGUUUAAAACAUUUAAAACAUGUAUAAAAAUCUCUCACACAGCAUAGACAACAAAUAUUCAGACAAUAUGCACACAUAGCACGUAAUUUAUAUUAAAUACUUCAUAUCUAGUGUAAGAUGAAACUAACUAUGCACUCGCUUGGUAAGGUGGUGACUCGGUACUCGGACAGCACUUCGUUACUCUUAAAACAAUUUUCCUCGGAGAAAACCUAGUAUCAUUACCACUAGAUUUUAGUCUAAUAUUCACCGAGACUAAUUAAUAGUCUAUCUGUUAUUACUAUUAUAUUAGCGUUAAAUAACACUCAAUAUAACUCAUAAUAAUAGGCCAAAUAAUUAUUUUAAGGUCCUAAUAAUGUUACUAUAAUUAAUUAGAAACUAUAUCAAAAAUAGCGUAGGCGUAGCUUACUUACAGCGGGUUUUUCGCAAAACCCGGGCAUCGCUAGAGCAGCGUUCCCNACUCUGAACAUAAUAAUUAAAAUACAUACUUAUGUGUGCAUUUUAGAGUAAUAACACAACAAGAACAAUAAAAGUCUUUGGAGGAUUUGAACAUCGCUAUUAAACUCGGGCAGUUAUGUAGUCGUAUUGGGGGUGAAUGUAGCGUGAUCAACUACAUUCAUUCAAAAUACGACCAACAUGUGUCCGGGAGUAAUUGUGAUGGAAAAUGAAUCAAAAACUUACAAUUUAAUUUUCCAAAGAGGUUAUAGAACCAAACCUAAACAAAAUUAAAUUAAUAUCGGAGUAAUUGAUAUGCUAUUUUUUUCUAGUGUUUACACCCCUUCGUGCAAUACACUAUAGAAGAGUAUCAUUAGCUAGGAAACGCUUAUCUCCCUAGUCAGGGAAUAGCAGGGUCGCUCGACCCAGAGGAAGACCCAGAAGGAGACUCAGAGGAAGAACCAGAGGAGGAACACGUAGUAUAACUUGCAGAUAGACUCGUUGAGUCAAUAGUGGACCUCAAAGAGGAAGAGCCCGAUGGAAUUGACGAUGAUGACUUGGAUGUAGGGUCCAAGGUCAUAUAUCUUCCAUACAUGGCCAGAGUAUCAGAUUAUCGUAAGGUCCCUGAUGGCCCCACGCCCCAUGGGCACACGAUAAUAAGAGAAGGAGUCACCAGCAGGGGAUACGACCACACUACGGUAGGAAUCGAGGUCUCUUCAAUCUUAGUCAUAGAGGAUCAGAUGACCAAGCCCUCCCAGUCGUGGUCCAACGCACCCGAGACAUUGGCAACCAAACUCAGGACACCCAUAAGAAAAUGGACCAAAUGUGGGCUGCUGUUGAGAGAACUAAGUGACAAAUUGAGGAAGUGAUCGGGACUCCCAAACGAGGCAGUUAGUUCGGCUGGCACGACUACGAGACACCGAGCGACAAGUAGCUCAUCUUCAGGGUGCAUCCACUUUAUCAGAACCACCACCAGACACUUUCCAGCACAAUUAGGAUCAACCUUUUCUUUUUCCCCCUACUAACCGAUAUGACUCUCUUUCGUGUACUAAAACGAUACUUACCAAUGAAACAAUUAUGUGCUAUCUUUACUUCAUGUUAUUGCAUAAUUUCAAGUGUAUGCACAACCGAACCCUCGAAACCGCUAGAUACUUAAGAAUCUCGAAACUAAAACAACCCAUAUACUCUAAGGAUAGACAUAACGAUCAUGUCAAAUCUGCGAUUACCUACUACAAUAAAUACAUCAUAGGGAUGUUGAUGGAAACAAUGAAAAUCAUAUGACAAGACACGAAAUUUAUAGAGUACAACCAAGAAUAAUGAUCAUUACCUACGAUCUGGCUUAUAAACAUGCAGCAGAAAAUGUCAUCCCACAAAGAUAACAAGCACGCCCUGUGACAUCCCCAUUUUCACGGCCAGAAAAUACCGAUUUUGUUUAUGUUUUAUAAAAAUUAGAGUGUCACUUUUAAUAAAAAUGUUGCGGAAUUUGUUCCCAGUAAAACAUGAUAAAUACGUUAUCAAAGCAAUUCUGAAGAAAACUAUUUUUAAUUCAUUUAAAACAUUUGGGAUGUCAUCGUCAAUAAUGAAACAUAAGCAUAAACAGAACUUACAUUUAUUUACACUAGUGAUCUACAUCUCUUUUAAAUCUCUCAGUGUAAAGUAGCUUCUUAUUGACACCUGUCAUUCAAAUAAACUGAGUGGGUCAGGUUGGGAAACCUGGUGAGUACAUAGGGUUUUCAACCCGCAAUAAUAUAAUUAUUAUGUUUAAUCAUCAAAGAGUUAACCCAAUUACCCAUCCACAUUAUCUUCUUUAAUCAUAAGGAUCCACCCUAAGAAUAAGCUAUUUCUCGUUCAUUCAUGCCUACGGAUUUUCCUAAGGAAUAGGUACGAAGUCCAUCGUUGUCAAUGACACAACUGACAAGCACAUCUGCUAGUUCUAUCACUUAGGCUCACCUGCCAUAGUUGUGACAUUCUAUAUGAGGCGCUUCUGCCGGUAUUGUCCUUUAGAAGCUACUGUCAAGGUGAUAAUGUUCUCUAUUAGGCGCAACUGCUGAAAUUAUCCUUAGAGCGUAGCUACUAGGAUGUUUAUCGUAGAUCAACAACAUCUAUAGGUUGUGGCGCAGUUGCCAGUGCUUAUCUAUAGGGUACUAGGUCCAUUGCUACCAAUGUUCACCUAUAGGGCACUAGGUCCAUACCACUAAUAUUCCUCUAUUUCAGUUUUCACCCCUCGUCCUUCAUCUACCCAUGUUUUUCCCAACAUAUUUUGUAGAUAUAAAAAUAUGUAUACAGUUUAAAACAUUUAAAACAUGUAUAAAAAUCUCUCACACAGCAUAUACAGCAAAUAUUCAGACAAUAUGCACAUAUAGCACGUAAUUUAUAUUAAAUACUUCAUAUCUAGUGUAAGAUGAAACUAACUAUGCACUCGCUUGGUAAGGUGGUGACUCGGUACUCGGACAACACUUCGUUACUCUUAAAACAAUUUUCCUCGGAGAAAACCUAGUAUCAUUACCACUAGAGUUUAGUCUAAUAUUCACCGAGACUAAUUAAUAGUCUAUCUAUUAUUACUAUUAUAUUAGCGUUAAAUAACACUCAAUAUAAGUCAUAAUAAUAGGCCAAAUAAUUAUUUUAAGGUCCUAAUAAUGUUACUGUAAUUAAUUAGAAACUAUAUUAAAAAUAGCGUAGGCGUAGCUUACUUACAGCGGGUUUUUCGCAAAACCCGGGCUUCGCUAGAGCAGCGUUCCGGAGNAGAAACUAUAUCAAAAAUAGCGUAGGCGUAGCUUACUUACAGCGGGUUUUUCGCAAAACCCGGGCAUCGCUAGAGCAGCGUUCCCGAGCCGAAAGACUCUUUUCUCGGGACUCCAGGAGCCUCGGGGCUUACUUCGGGUGCUAUGGUGUUUACCUAGGCUUUUAGGGGGGUUAAGGAGCUUAGAGAGAGAGAGUGUAGAGAGAGAAAGAAAGUUUGAGAGGUGUGAAGUACUUACAGCGGGUUUUUCGCAAAACCCGGGCAUCGCUAGAGCAGCGUUCCCGAGCCGAAAGACUCUUUUCUCGGGACUCCAGGAGCCUCGGGGCUUACUUCGGGUGCUAUGGUGUUUACCUAGGCUUUUAGGGGGGUUAAGGAGCUUAGAGAGAGAGAGUGUAGAGAGAGAAAGAAAGUUUGAGAGGUGUGAAGAAAUGGCAAGACCCAUCAGCUCUAUUUAUAGGGUGAAUUACUGACGGACUCGCCGAGUAGGAGGACGUACUCGUCGAGUUGGGGCAUGUGGCAGCCUUCUGGUGGUGCCACGUGUCCAAUUCUGGUGGUGCCACGUCACCCCCUGUCGCGUCUCGCCCUUCAAAAUUAGAAAAAUCAUAACUCUCGCAUACCAGCUCCGUUUUUGACGUUCUUUCUUUCAACGCGUAGGUAAAAUCAAGAUCUACAACUUUCAUUUAGACUCUGUUGGCUAAUUCUCGACCGAUCUCAAAUUUAACAGUAGGAGGCGUUUAGACUGUUGACCGCGAAGAAUUCGUAACUCCUUCAUACGGACUCCAUUUUUGUCUAUAUUUUUACCGUUGAUUUCCUAUUAAUGAGAUCUUCAACUUUCAUUUAGGUCACGUAAGCCAAAAACCGCUCGAAGUAAAUUCAAGUUUCGGGCCGUGCACUGCUAAGCCGAAUCUUAGAAAAAUCAUAACUUCCUCAUACGAAGUCAGAUUUGGGCGUUCUCUUUACGGAUGUUAUCGGUUUAAUGUAUACUACCAAUUUGGUUUAGAUUGCUAAGGAUAAAAUUCGCUCCAUCGUAAGUUUACUAUUUAUGCUUCCUGGUGUCAUGCCGGUUUUGCCGUAAAACUUCGACGGACCAUAACUUUUUCGUUAUAACUCGGAUUUCGGCGUUCGUUAUAUGUACGGAAACCUUGAGACAUAUUCUACAACUUGGUUAAGAGUAUUUAUUAUAAAUAAUCUUUUUCCGAUAAGUCGUUUUCGACACUUAUUGCCUUUAAAUUGACUAUCCCGGAUCUGUGGGCGUUACACGCCCGUAAGACACAAAUCAUGCGGAUGGACUUCGCCACAUUCCAAGCUGCUGUAACAGCGGCAGUAACCGCUACUAUGGCACAACUCAACGCAAACAACACCAAUAGAGGUAGAAAUAGCAUCGACAACUCCAGCCGAGGGAAC
This 9828-nucleotide long non-coding RNA is filed under the name Lactuca sativa (garden lettuce). RNAcentral's name for it is "long non-coding RNA (LSAT_LNC002580)". Lineage: Eukaryota; Viridiplantae; Streptophyta; Magnoliopsida; Asterales; Asteraceae. The record is from RNAcentral.